GGAGCGUAAUGGACUCAGAAAAUCCUGCCAGAACUCUUUGCCUCCCCCUUCUCCAUGGCUCUGCUUUGUGUAGAUCCUGCUUGCUAUAUUCCCAGGGCAACUUCAAUAAAGGCAUUUAGAAGGGAAAGAGGCUGCUCAGUGACUUUUGGAGACUUUGGCCAAGAUUUUGCUGAGGAGUGGAGAUGGGAGGGGAACUCACCGAUCCCUGUGAGGCACUUGGAAAAUAUAAGCAGAUACUUAAGCCACAGCUGGGCAAGUUUUGUAGGUUUGGAAUUUCAGCUUUUUCCACGGGCCAGGCAUUGAGAUUCUGGGGAAUGGACUGGAUAAGACCGAACAGGACUCUGCUCCAGGGGG
Heterocephalus glaber (naked mole-rat) is the source of this 354-nucleotide long non-coding RNA. RefSeq lists it as uncharacterized. Lineage: Eukaryota; Metazoa; Chordata; Mammalia; Rodentia; Bathyergidae. The record is from RefSeq and is a predicted model, not a curated record.